GAUUUCUUAAAUAUCAGCCUUGAAAUCUGGUCAAAGACUAUCGUCUAGAAAUCC
Molecule: transfer RNA, 54 nt
Filed under: Sabella spallanzanii
Lineage: Eukaryota; Metazoa; Annelida; Polychaeta; Sabellida; Sabellidae
Description: tRNA-Ser
Source: RNAcentral